This 90-nucleotide transfer RNA is filed under the name Micromonospora sp. MH33. RNAcentral's name for it is "tRNA-Cys". The record is from RNAcentral. Lineage: Bacteria; Bacillati; Actinomycetota; Actinomycetes; Micromonosporales; Micromonosporaceae.
CGAGGGCGUGGAGGACGAGCGCACCUGGCGGCUGCUGCACGCGGCCGGCUGCGACGUGGCGCAGGGUUGGUUCCACGCCCGGCCCAUGCC